CAAACACUGCGGACACUGAGGAGAGGUUACUCAUUAUUUGCUCGGACGGGGCGUAGCACAGUGGGUAAGGAACUGGGCUUGUAACCGAAAGGUCGCAGGUUCGAUUCCCGGAGAAGGAUAUGCAGCACGGACGUGUGAUUCUAAACCAGAGUGAUGCAGACCGAAGCCCUGCCUAAGAGAGGAAAGGCAGCUGAAUCACCAGGGAGACGCAAGUUGCUGAAGAGGGGCAGUUACAGCAGCCCAGUGAGAGGCCGGAGGGUGUGAUUUCCUGCCUAAUCAUCAUCACGAGAAGCACAGAUCGCAGCCCAAUCGAGAAACACAAGAGCUGCUCCAAAACUGUGAAGCCCGGCAUUAAGCGUGGCUGAUCUGCCCAGGGCUACAGAAUCAGCUGGGAGCCGGUGGCUAUAAUGUAAGAUGUGAACAUUAAGCGCUUCCUGCUGAUUUCCUCUCAUAGGAAAGUGGUGCUGUUGUUCCAAUUUCCUCAAGUACUGUGCUUGCGCUUACAGCAUAACAUAAUGAUCAAUAUAUUAGAUGAUUGAUAUAUGAAAUAAGCAAUAUAUUGGGCCAAUAAUCACAUUUUGAACCAUAUCUAUAUCGGUAAUCAAGGACACCGUGUUAGAUAUAGAGGACUAAUA
Long non-coding RNA from Anguilla anguilla (European eel), 635 nucleotides. RefSeq lists it as uncharacterized. The record is from RefSeq and is a predicted model, not a curated record. NCBI's taxonomy places the organism in Eukaryota, Metazoa, Chordata, Actinopteri, Anguilliformes, Anguillidae. The transcript is spliced from 3 exons.